CAGUCGCCGCGGGAAUACGUAGGGUGCGAGCGUUAAUCGGAAUUACUGGGCGUAAAGCGUGCGCAGGCGGUUUUGUAAGACAGGCGUGAAAUCCCCGGGCUCAACCUGGGAAUGGCGCUUGUGACUGCAAAGCUAGAGUGCGGCAGAGGGGGAUGGAAUUCCGCGUGUAGCAGUGAAAUGCGUAGAGAUGUGGAGGAACACCGAUGGCGAAGGCAGCCCCCUGGGCCAAUACUGACGCUCAUGCACGAAAGCGUGGGGAGCAAACAGGAUUAGAUACCCCGGUAGUCCCUGUCUCUUAUAC
Molecule: ribosomal RNA, 301 nt
Filed under: uncultured bacterium
Lineage: Bacteria
Description: partial 16S ribosomal RNA
Rfam family: Bacterial small subunit ribosomal RNA
Source: RNAcentral